This 492-nucleotide ribosomal RNA is filed under the name Triticum aestivum (bread wheat). RNAcentral's name for it is "partial small subunit ribosomal RNA". The record is from RNAcentral. Lineage: Eukaryota; Viridiplantae; Streptophyta; Magnoliopsida; Poales; Poaceae.
AUGGCGCAAUAUAAUACCAAAUUGUGUGAUUUCUCGAAUACCAAUAACAAUGAUUUCCUUAGUACUCCGAUUUCUCCUCUUAAUGAUGUUGAGUCUUGUGAAAUCAAUAGUUCUUUGCUGAAUCUUGUUAUGAAAGAUCAAUUCGCCGGCCUUCCUAGUGAAGAUGCCGCUACUCAUCUAAACAACUUUGUCGAUUUGUGUGAUAUGAAAAAGAAGAAAGAUAUGGAUAACAAUAUUUUCAAAUUGAAGUUAUUUCCAUUUUCACUUAGAGAUCAUGCUAAAGUUUGGUUUUCGUCUUUGCCUAAAAAUAGUAUUGAUUCUUGGAACAAGUGCAAAGAUGCUUUUAUCUCUAAGUAUUUUCCUCCCACUAAGAUUAUCACUCUUAGGAACGAUAUUAUGAAUUUUAAACAACUUGAUCAUGAGCAUGUUUCCCAAUCUUGCGAAAGAAUGAAAUUGAUGCUUCGCAAUUGCCCUACUCAUGGUUUGAAUUAA